UACGUAGGGUGCAAGCGUUGUCCGGAAUUAUUGGGCGUAAAGAGCUCGUAGGUGGCCUGUCGCGUCGGCUGUGAAAACUCGGGGCUCAACUCCGAGCUUGCAGUCGAUACGGGCAGGCUAGAGUUCGGCAGGGGAGACUGGAAUUCCUGGUGUAGCGGUGAAAUGCGCAGAUAUCAGGAAGAACACCCGUGGCGAAGGCGGCUUUCUGGGACGGUACUGACGCUGAGACGCGAAAGCGUGGGGAGCGAACAGG
This 253-nucleotide ribosomal RNA is filed under the name uncultured bacterium. RNAcentral describes it as "partial 16S ribosomal RNA". It matches the Rfam family "Bacterial small subunit ribosomal RNA", at positions 524 to 776 of the family's 1533-position model. The record is from RNAcentral.